This is a small nuclear RNA of Sardina pilchardus (European sardine), 136 nucleotides long. RefSeq annotates it as U11 spliceosomal RNA. NCBI's taxonomy places the organism in Eukaryota, Metazoa, Chordata, Actinopteri, Clupeiformes, Clupeidae. The transcript has a single exon. The record is from RefSeq and is a predicted model, not a curated record.
UAAAAGGGCAUCUGCUGUGACUAGCACAAGGAUGAUAGGGUGAUCUCUGUUUACCUUGCGGAAUCAACAUCAAAAGAUUUCGGGUGCAAAAUGUUUGGCUUUGGGGUUGUCAAUGAUCGAUUAUCUUGGUGCCCCU